Molecule: ribosomal RNA, 301 nt
Filed under: uncultured bacterium
Lineage: Bacteria
Description: partial 16S ribosomal RNA
Rfam family: Bacterial small subunit ribosomal RNA
Source: RNAcentral
CAGUAGCCGCGGGAACACGAGGGGGGCAAGCGUUGUUCGGAAUUAUUGGGCGUAAAGGGCUCGCAGGCGGUUUCUUAAGUCUGAUGUGAAAGCCCCCGGCUCAACCGGGGAGGGUCAUUGGAAACUGGGAAACUUGAGUGCAGAAGAGGAGAGUGGAAUUCCACGUGUUGCGGUGAAAUGCGUAGAGAUGUGGAGGAACACCAGUGGCGAAGGCGACUCUCUGGUCUGUAACUGACGCUGAGGAGCGAAAGCGUGGGGAGCAAACAGGAUUAGAUACCCCAGUAGUCCCUGUCUCUUAUAC